Molecule: non-coding RNA, 985 nt
Organism: Vicugna pacos (alpaca)
Lineage: Eukaryota; Metazoa; Chordata; Mammalia; Artiodactyla; Camelidae
Source: RefSeq, a predicted model, not a curated record
GGGGUUGGGGGAGCGCCAUGAAUAUGUGUGAUUUCAGAUUCUGUAACCCCCUCUGACAACAGCUGUCUGCGGUUUCUACCAUGGAACCCUGACAUGCUUCAUGCUCUGUGCUCUGAGGUUCCCGGGCGCCUCACAGAGGGGGAGCUGGCUGGUCACCCGAGGAUGACAUACUAUCCCUGCUGUUCGCGCAGGCAACCUCGGCUACGUGGGAAAGAAUUUUCAGAGACACCAGGCACUUACUGAUUCAGGCUCCGGGGAUGACAGAUCACCAGGUGGUGAUGCUGUGGGCUGUCUGUAUCUACAGCAAGCUAUGGAAGGUCGGAGAAGGCGCCCCCGACUGGAGUAACUGGCGAAGCUCCCUCGUGUAGGACUCGGAGGAAAGACGUGGAUUUCUCUUUAUGAAAUUAUGAAGAGAAGAGGGGAAAAGGAACAUAUCGCCAGGACACGCAGAAAUUCUCAGCAGAGCCCCAAUAUAUCCUGUGUUAGUCAGGAUAGGCUGGGCUCCACCGCAGUAACAGAUAAACCUGUGCAUUCAAGGGGCUUCAUUCAACUUUAUUUCUCAUUCAUGUCACAGUCUGGGGUGAUUUGACUGACUUUCCUUGGUGGGCUCUACGCAGGGACUCAGGGAUAAAUGCUCCUUCUAUCUUGUGUUCCUACCAUGUUGAGAGUUGAGUUAAGCUUACCCUGUGGGGUUCCUGCCUCUGCAUUCAUUUUGUCCAGCCAGUCAGCCUGCAGGGGCCUGAAGCUGACACUAGCCCCUUCACGCAAGCACAUGCCUUAGGUCGCAGCCUGCGGAGUCACAGGCACAUGUAAGUUUCUGGUAUGUCUUCUUGUGAUCAACAUUCUCCCUCCCCUCCCAGCUUCCUUAUGCCGUAUGCUCACCAAACCCUCGCUCUUUUAGUUUGAACUGAUCAAUCCAGUCUGGCCUGGGAACCCCAACACACUCUAGCUAUGCACCCUAAUAAAGGCAUGGCCCCGGGUCCUG